CCUACGGGUGGCAGCAGUGGGGAAUAUUGCACAAUGGGGGAAACCCUGAUGCAGCGACGCCGCGUGAGCGAUGAAGUAUUUCGGUAUGUAAACCUCUAUCAGCAGGGAAGAAAAUGACGGUACCUGACUAACAAUCCCCGGCUAACUACGUGCCAGCAGCCGCGGUAAUACGUAGGGCGCACGCGUUAUCCGGAAUUACUGGGUGUAAAGUGAGCGUAGACGGCGGGGCAAGCCAGAUGUGAAAGCCCGGGGCUCAACCCCGGGACUGCAUUUGGAACUGUGCUGCUAGAGUGUCGGAGAGGCAGGUGGAAUUCCUGGUGUAGCGGUGAAAUGCGUAGAUAUUAGGAGGAACACCAGUGGCGAAGGCGGCCUGCUGGACGAUGACUGACGUUGAGGCUCGAAAGCGUGGGGAGCAAACAGGAUUAGAUACCCGUGUAGUC
This 440-nucleotide ribosomal RNA is filed under the name uncultured bacterium. Its description in RNAcentral is "partial 16S ribosomal RNA". It matches the Rfam family "Bacterial small subunit ribosomal RNA", at positions 338 to 795 of the family's 1533-position model. The record is from RNAcentral.